Molecule: ribosomal RNA, 773 nt
Filed under: uncultured bacterium
Lineage: Bacteria
Description: bacterial SSU rRNA
Rfam family: Bacterial small subunit ribosomal RNA
Source: RNAcentral
AGAGUUUGAUCAUGGCUCAGGACGAACGCUGGCGGCGUGCUUAACACAUGCAAGUCGAACGGAAAGGCCCUUCGGGGUACUCGAGUGGCGAACGGGUGAGUAACACGUGGGUGAUCUGCCCUGCACUUUGGGAUAAGCCUGGGAAACUGGGUCUAAUACCGAAUAGGACCACGCGCUUCAUGGUGUGUGGUGGAAAGCUUUUGCGGUGUGGGAUGGGCCCGCGGCCUAUCAGCUUGUUGGUGGGGUAAUGGCCUACCAAGGCGACGACGGGUAGCCGGCCUGAGAGGGUGACCGGCCACACUGGGACUGAGAUACGGCCCAGACUCCUACGGGAGGCAGCAGUGGGGAAUAUUGCACAAUGGGCGCAAGCCUGAUGCAGCGACGCCGCGUGAGGGAUGACGGCCUUCGGGUUGUAAACCUCUUUCACCAGGGACGAAGCGCAAGUGACGGUACCUAUAGAAGAAGCACCGGCCAACUACGUGCCAGCAGCCGCGGUAAUACGUAGGGUGCGAGCGUUGUCCGGAAUUACUGGGCGUAAAGAGCUCGUAGGUGGUUUGUCGCGUUGUUCGUGAAAACUCACAGCUUAACUGUGGGCGUGCGGGCGAUACGGGCAGACUAGAGUACUGCAGGGGAGACUGGAAUUCCUGGUGUAGCGGUGGAAUGCGCAGAUAUCAGGAGGAACACCGGUGGCGAAGGCGGGUCUCUGGGCAGUAACUGACGCUGAGGAGCGAAAGCGUGGGGAGCGAACAGGAUUAGAUACCCCGGUAGUCCAA